CCUACGGGAGGCAGCAGUGAGGAAUAUUGGUCAAUGGCCGGAAGGCUGAACCAGCCAAGCCGCGUGAAGGACGAAGGUGCCAAGCAUUGUAAACUUCUUUUGUCAAGGGACAAAACCAGGCUCGAGAGCCUGACCGAGGGUACUUGAAGAAAAAGCAUCGGCUAACUCCGUGCCAGCAACCGCGGUAAUACGGAGGAUCCGAGCGUUAUCCGGAAUUAGUGGGUUUAAAGGGUGCGUAGAUGGGUUGUUAAGUCAGUUGUGAAAGUCUUCUGCUCAACCAUAAAAUUGCAAUUGCAACUGGGAGCCUAGAGUGCGGGUGAGGUAGGCGGAAUGCGUGGUGUAGCGGUAAAAUGCUUAGAUAUCAAGAAGAACUCUGAUUGCGAAGGCAGCCUACUAAAAUGCCACUGACAUUGAUGCUCGAAAGUGUGGGGAGCAAACAGGAUUAGAUACCCGAGUAGUC
RNAcentral lists this ribosomal RNA (460 nucleotides) under uncultured bacterium. Its description in RNAcentral is "partial 16S ribosomal RNA". It matches the Rfam family "Bacterial small subunit ribosomal RNA", at positions 338 to 795 of the family's 1533-position model. The record is from RNAcentral.